AUUGAACGCUGGCGGCAGGCCUAACACAUGCAAGUCGAGCGGAUGAAGGGAGCUUGCUCCUGGAUUCAGCGGCGGACGGGUGAGUAAUGCCUAGGAAUCUGCCUGGUAGUGGGGGAUAACGUCCGGAAACGGGCGCUAAUACCGCAUACGUCCUGAGGGGGAAAGUGGGGGAUCUUCGGACCUCACGCUAUCAGAUGAGCCUAGGUCGGAUUAGCUAGUUGGUGGGGUAAAGGCCUACCAAGGCGACGAUCCGUAACUGGUCUGAGAGGAUGAUCAGUCACACUGGAACUGAGACACGGUCAAGACUACUACGGGAGGCAGCAGUGGGGAAUAUUGGACAAAGGGCGAAAGCCUGAUCCAGCCAUGCCGAGUGUGUGAAGAAGGUCUUCGGAUUGUAAAGCACUUUAAGUUGGGAGGAAGGGCAGUAAGUUAAUACCUUGCUGUUUUGACGGUACCAACAGAAGAAGCACCGGCUAACUUCGUG
Molecule: ribosomal RNA, 484 nt
Filed under: uncultured bacterium
Lineage: Bacteria
Description: partial 16S ribosomal RNA
Rfam family: Bacterial small subunit ribosomal RNA
Source: RNAcentral